GCUCUCCUCAGCAAUCAACAGUUCAUCUUCCAGAGGAAGAAAAAGACAGCUGUCGCUAAUCGUUACGCGCUGCCGGAUGGAGUUUGGGGUGCGUCGUUCAAGUGGUCUAAGCAGAUACAGUCUACGACUGAACUGGUAUGCUAGUUCCAGUUUGAUAUGUUCGUUGUCGCUGUUGUGCUUCAUACACGGACCCGCUGAUACCCCUAGCGGCGGAUGCAUAUUCGAUAUAAAUUAUAGACCAAAAACAGCUUCACCUGAUGGGAAAGUUAGAGCUUUAUAAUCUUGUUCUACAAGACUAUAAUUGAUGCAGGAGCAAAACUUCUUUUGCACUUAUUAUUAUUUUUUACUUACUCUGAAACACCAGGAAUGUAUGUAGAAUUCCAUAUUAAAGCACUAACUGAAUUAUAGUAGUCAAAGGCACAAAAUAGCAUCUGCAAGUCUAUCAGCAUACUCAGAUUGUGUCAAAAUAAUUAUAAUUAAUAUAAAAUUAAUUAACAAAUACUAAACGAGUCGAGCCCGAGCCGAGGGCGAACUUGAAAAAUUACUUACGAGCCGAGCUCGAGGUUUUAAAGUCGAAGCUUGAAUCGCGCUGAGCUCGAGCUUUCAUAUGUUAAACGAGCUCGAGCUUGGUUGACCUCAGGCUCGGAUCGUUUGCACCCCUAACACUUUUCUUGCAUGAUGGGACACAAGUUUAGGUUGGUUGAAAUGGAGUUUAAUUUGUUAUUGAAGAUAAAAGAAUGUUUUAAAGAAGACGAGAAUGUAUGGGUUAUUUUUAUUUUAAUAUUACUUAAAAGGGUAUAAUAGUAAAAUUGUCACUUUCCCUUUCUUUUCCUCUCCACUCGGGAAUGCAAAAAAAUGUUUAUUUUCCUUUCUUUCUUUUCCUUUACUUGAAACUCUGGAACACACAAUAAUUUUUAUUUGUUCCUUUCUUUUCUCUACUAAACUCUAUUUCUUUUCUUUUCUUUCUUUUAUUAAACUCUAUUUCUUUUCUUUUCUUUCUUUUCCUAACUGAUACCUUCCGGUGCACUAUCGCUGCCCUCUAUUGCACCGUCGUUGCCCUCUAGGGCACAUCGUCUCUCUUGUUCGCUACAGCCCAUGUGUGCAAUUGUCCACUAAAUUCAUAUGAAUAUGUUGUGGCUAAAUCUCUGCUUUUAUCUGCUCAUUAUGAUGUUUAGAAUAUGUGCACACUAAGGGUUUGAUGAAAUGUUUGUGUUAGUUUUCCCCUCUAAUUUUAUUCACAAUUGUCUAAGUACCUUUGUUGCAAUUAUUGUUGAUUGUGCGUAGGUUGAGUUUGACAUGGUGAAGGUUCAUGUACAUACAAGGGUAAGGGAUAAAAGUUGGAACUAUUGAACGCGCUUCAGGGUACCCUUUGUGCUGUCAGGCGUGAGCAGCCUUUGUGAGAGGAUAUGAUGUUAUUCACAAACUAUUUACAGAGCUGGCUUACUGAUACAAGACAUGAGGAUAUACAAGAGUUCUUCGAACUUGAAUAAAAGUUGGUGAUGCUGCACCAAUGACGUAUAUUGAGUAAGUUCUUUUAUCACAUGGGCUGAAAGACUUUUCUAUAAGCUUAUUUUUACUUUAUGCUAUCUAAAGUGCUUUUUACACUAUUACCUACAACCGAAAUUAUGGCUCGUUCAUCAAGAAAUGGGUUGAUUUAGGUCACUGCAAUGCUUAUUGAAUUUGGGUCGACUAAAUUUAAGCCUACUCAAAUUAUACAACAGUUAUUAAUCUCAAAACAUUGCGAAAUUAACAAUGCGUUGGAUCCCUGAACAAGAUCUCAGCUUAGCAGGAGUUUUGCAUCUCCGGCUCCACAACCAGCUCAAAGACCACCAUUGGAUCCCUCGAGAAGAUCUCAGCUUAGCAGGAGUUUCGCAUCUCCUAAAGAAGGCAAAAGCUUAGAAGCAGAGGAUUAAACCUUAUUGUCACUGGAAUCAUCCCUUCUAAAAGGUUAAUCAUGGUAGGUACGGGUCACUGUGGGAUAACUGGAUUUGUGUCGCCUCUGAGAUUGGUUAGAACGGGUCAUCUGUUACUAGAAAUGGAAUUCGGUAUAUAUUAUUAGAAGCUUUCGAGCGAAGUUUUAUGACAGAGAAAUUCUCACUCAAAAGAACGUUUAAACUCCUCAUGUAAACAUUUGGAAUUUGAAAUAUGUUACUUAUUACAUAAUGUUUUGCUAAUACUUGGAGUAUGUUUCACAUCAAUAUAUUAUUGAAGUUUUAAUA
This is a long non-coding RNA of Helianthus annuus (common sunflower), 2219 nucleotides long. RefSeq lists it as uncharacterized. NCBI's taxonomy places the organism in Eukaryota, Viridiplantae, Streptophyta, Magnoliopsida, Asterales, Asteraceae. The record is from RefSeq and is a predicted model, not a curated record. The transcript has 8 exons.